AGCGCCAACAACACAAAGAAAGAUAUUUUGGUGCCAUUUACACCAGUCAACAACCAGCCAAGAAUAGAUGGCUAACGACUCACCCGACAAAAAGGAAACCUAUAUAGUUCCAACCAUUUAGUUACACCACCUCUACAACAAUCACAUUCAUUACAACUUGGCCACGAAAGCAAGAAACAAUCAACUAGCGAGGAAAAAAUUCUUUAUCUACAGCUUGCUUGCCAUUUCAUUUCAACACUAGCUAGUUCUACAACACUGGCACUGAGAACCAGAUCUUAAGCUUGUACAAAUCUUCAGCUUGCCAUUUACCAAAUUCGCAUGGCAACAAUACCGGUCUCCAACAGUUCGCCAACACCACCAGCCAAGAAAUAAAGCACAAACAACCACGCCAAGUAGACAACAAUAUCACUAGCCAGGCAUAUCAACAAACGGAGCACAAGUUGCCAUUUCCUCUAGUGCUUCCAAGUCUCCACUUAUGGGGGCCACGGCACCGUCUUCGUCAAUCUCCAUGGCACCUACACCAAACAAUCGGCCAAGCUCUUAGCAGAGGAAGUCACCAAAUUAAGUAAAAACCUCAAUCUGGGUUAGGGUAGAUAAAUAGAUAGAAGUAAUAAAGGAAAAUACAUACGCAGCAGUUAAAAAGACACCAAGGUGUGGGUGUGGUAUCCUUGAUUAACAGCAAAAGAAAAGGCAUGAUAAUCUUUCUACAAACAAGAAUGAGAUUCUAACAGCUCUUGACAUCAAAUGAGCUUUUAUAUUAGUGCCAUUUCUGAGCUUUCUAUAUGAAAGCCUUUUCUAGCUAUCAAGCUAUCAGUAAAAUAACAGUAGCUUCAGAACUAUGCAAAAACACUGACUGACCACGCAUGCAUCCGAAACUGACAAGUGAGCUAUGCAAACAAAACCAGAUUGAAAAAAACUAAACACAAAUUGAUCAUGUUCCGUCAGCAAAGACCGCUGCCAAAACUGAAUUUGUUCGUCUUCCCGCUCUAGAGCUUCUCUAAACAAGUAGUCUGCAGGUACAAAUGAAUGGAAGAGAGAAGGAAGAAAGGCUAGUCCUCUCUCAAUUGGUUCAUGAUGCAUACGACAAAACCAAGAUAUGUGCCAUGAGAUCAAGAACCCUCCACAAACGUCAUAAUGAACAUGCCCCAACAACCCUUCCUGGGACGAAUGAGAACUAUGCUCCUAAAGUAACAUGCAAGUGAUUUACUUGAUAAGUACACGUCAGAUUACCUAGCUAGAACGGAUCCAGAGGAACACCGAUCCAUUUAACUAGCUACCAACAAGCAUUACCGAGCCCAAUUUGGGCCAUCAAGAGACCAAACAGAAAAGCUAAGUAGUCAUUGCACACAGAGGCCAUGACCCAGAGCUAUACCAUGGCUCGAUGACCAUGUGCACAAAGCAAGGGCAAGAGCAGAGAAUGCCUUUAAAAUGUUUGUAGUCGAGGCAGAACCACGCCAUCAGGAUCAUUACCCUCUUGCUUAAGUAGUGUGUUUGUUCUUUCUACCACGUGGCUAUCCGUAACAGAGCCCUCUUGAAAACUUGAGGAGAAAAAAAUUGUGAUUUUAGUAAGGGGAAGUACAAAACUAAAAUAUAGAGAUGUGUGAAGAAAAAAAUCGACUACAAUAUUAUAGUCAAGUAAACAUGCCAAGGUAGGUUAGAUAGGACAAACAACUUGUAGCCUUCUAGUAAUAUAACUUCCACGUUCCAAAUGAGAAGAUGAUCGAUAUAAUGAACACCAUUUAGGUGCAAAUAGGCAAAGAAUAUCUGCUAUGAGAUGUAGUUUGAUGCCAGUAGUAGAUAAAGGAUGCCAAAAGGCACUAAUCAUGAUAAAGAUCAUGUUAGAGUAACAUUUGAUCUCAAGUAGUUGUAUUAUUUAACAGGAUGCAAAACACAAAUUGCAACCCUACAAUACAUAGCAGCAAUGCACAAUGUGCAAGAAUUUUGCCUUGUAGCAACAGCAGCAUAAAGGUAACUAUACAUACAUGACUCUGAUCAAUGGUCGCCCUUGUGCUUUUCUAUAUAUGGCCGACAAGCUAGUAGAGUGGGAGUUAUUUGGUUGUAUGAUCCUGAAGAAACAAAGGCGUGAUGAUCAUGUUCCUCUGCUUCAGUUAGCCAACCGAGGGAAUCAGGGAGGAUAAAUGUACGGCUUAAAACUAGACUCUGGCUGGGCAAACCCAGUUACAGAUGUGUGCAAGCUGCUGGAGCCGGAGCGCAACUAUUAAAUUGGACAUGCAUGCAUUCAGUAAGUGAGUCGCCUCUGUUAGAAGAACUGCAACCUUGUAGCGAAAUUAUGAGCUGGUAUAUAUUAACCUGGUUGUUCAACUUGUAAACUGAAGAGGAACACAUACGAGCUUGACCAUGAUAGAGAUAGUCGAAAAAAAAUUACAACAGCAAAGCCAAAACUAUUAUAACAGAAGAUGCAACAGCAAAGAAGAAGCAUGAAGUGCAACAGAGCAUUUCGCUGGGAAGUUGUGAUCUAACGAGCAGUGCUCCUAACUCUUCCGAAAAUCAGGUUCUACUGCUAGCAGGUUAAUGAAUGUGCUAUAAUUUCAUCAUCAUCCACAACAUAUCUUAGAAACGGGAAACCAGUGUAAACUAGCUAGAAUUUUUGUAUUGAGAAGAUCACGAGGUAAUCAAAAUCAAAAACCUAUGUAACUGAACAGUUCAAUACACAUGAUGCAAUGGAUACAUGAAGAAUUAUGAACUGCAACAGACCUUCAUUGGCAAAUUGACAAAUCAAGUCCAAACUGAUGCAACCAUUUGAUUUAAUAGGCAGUGCUCCACGCUCUUCCACAAAUCAAGUCCAACUUGAUAGUAAACAAAGAGGACUAAAUAUUAAGAAUCAAGAAAACCACCAGAUGUUCUUUAAGAAACUAAGAAGAUUUUGCUAAAAGAAAGGCAGAACAGAGACACAAGGAAUAUCAGCAGAAGGAUCAAAUGGUACAAUGGGCGGAGAGCGUUUUGAUCAAGUGAACUCGGAAUAUAGUUGGUGAAACAACAGAAUGGUUGUCAAGGAAAGAAGAUGCUAGUUGUGACAAACAAGAAAGAUGUAUAUACAAAGAAAACACUCCAUUGCAAAUUAGCGAUUACAACCAAGAAAAGUUAUGAAACCAGAAAAGCAGAUUGAACAAGAACGAAUGGUUUAUAGGUGCUCAGAAUCAACAGGUGUAUAGGAGUCAUUCAUGAGGAUAUCCCGUCAGUAUGAGGUAUGUUUUGUAACCAUUGCACAAUUGCAACCACCAGCAACAAGAAUAAAUCAUUUACCAAAUCACACGAGCUUAAAAAUAUUGAACUAGGAACACGAGUUUCAAGUCUUGGGGCCGGAUAACACAACUCAAGUCAAUUAAAUAUGAGCUCCAAUGAUGACAUAUAAGAAAUUACAAUGGACCCAGGUAAGCAUUUGGUUCAAACACAAAACAAAAUUUACAGGAAAUAAACACAAAAAACAAUCAUCCAAUGAAGCCAGAAAAAGAUGGUUUGUUGGUGCUCAGAUUCUAUGGGUGUAUAGGAGUCAUUCACAGGGUUCUCCUGUCAGUAUGAGGAAUGUUUUAUAAGCACUGCACCACAAAUGGUUCAACUCGCUAAAUCAAAAAUACCAGAAGAAUACUAGAUAGGAAAAACAUUAAAAAAUGUAAAAGAGCAGAGAUUAAACUGCAAUCUCGGAGCAGAGAUCCAUCUAGACAUAUUUUUGCUCCAAGCACCACCUGAGUUCUGAAAGUGACGCACACUGUUAAUAUGUUAUUAUCAGUAUUGUUUCAUCCUCACUGCGCUCAAACGCCACAAAUGAAGAAACAAGAACACAACAUAAGGGAAUAUUAUCGAGGAUGCAUCAGAUAUCCAACGUUAAAAGGGUGUGACAUCACAGAGACACCUCAGACGCAAAUUACACAUAAAACUUGUGUCUUCUCACCUGCAUCAAUAUUGCUCUUCCAAGAAACAGCAACAAGAACAAGGAAAGACUAAAUUCAAGAGAAACAAAGAAUGACGGAUAGGAAAAGAAUGACAGGACUUGCAGCACAGCCCAUGGCUAUCCAUUCCUGCAUCCACAUCCACAAACCCAACAGAUAAUUCAUUUUACUUGAGACUAAGCUCGGUUCUAAUUUCAAAGCUAAUAGCUUUGUGGUUUAAUUUUAAACUGAACUAAAUUAAUUUCUCAGGAACUAACUAGGGACUAUGAUCAGGUUCGGUUUAGAAUUCAGGCUAUCGACCAUGCAAAUAAAACCAAUAGGGAAAUUAAUUACACAAAAUAACCAUAUCUUGAACACAUGAAAUUACUGUACCAAGAACUAAGCUAGAAAACAAAGCCAAGAAGAAAACAACUUUUUUUUGUGGAAACGAGAGGAUGAUCAGAUUUGGUUCAGUAUUGAGGCCAUCAUAUCAGCCAAUCAAACCAAUAGGAAAAUUAACCUCAUCUCUCGUCUUUUCCUUUUUCGUAGUAGUCCGAGUUCAAGCUACUGUAGCAAUAUUUACUGUCCAUCUUUUUCAGCUCUGCUCCAGAAAAGAGAAAGGAUAAACCAAAAAAAAAUUUAACACAACAGUGAGGGCGGCUGCAUCAGAUUUCCAAGGUGAGCAAGAAUGUGACAUCACAGAAACGCCUCAGAUGGAAAUUACCAAUAAUCUAGGGUCUCGUCAUCUGCAUCCACUAUGCCCAUUUCAAUUAGAAAACAAAGUUUCUAUUUGAAUUGAUCUAACAUUGCUUGUUUGUUCUUAAACUGUACUAAAAUGAUCUUUGGUAGAAUUCUACAACAAACACCACAAUAUCUUUGAAAGAGGGAAAAAAGGGCAGCCCGGUGCAUGUAGCUCCUGCUUGCGCAGGGUCCGGGGAAUGGUCCGACCACUUUGGGUCUAUAGUACGUAGCAUUUCCCUACAUUUCUGUAAGAGGUUGUUUCCGGGACUUGAACCCAUGACCUCAUGGUCGAUAAUCAGAUUAUGUUCAGUAUUUAGGCAAUCAAGUUGAUCAAUCAAACCAACAGGAAAAUUAAUCAUCCGUCAUCUUACCUUUGUCUAUUUAACUAGCAAAUAGAUCUAUUGAAUAAAUGAAUGUACCAUAUAAAUAGCAAAUCUAAUGAACAUGAUGAGGUGACCAAAAACAGGUCGGCUUUUUUUGAUGAUCAUAUUUGGUUCAGUAUUUGGGCCAUCAUAUCGGCCAAUCAAAACAAUAGGAAAUUUAAUCUCAUUCAUCAUCUCAUCUCUCGCCAAUUAAAACCCAAAACAAAGGAUUUUUUUAACAAAAUUAGUAAGAACACGAAAGACAUGACUGAGGUGGAUGCAUCAGAUCUCCAAGGUGAAAAAGAGUGACAUCACAUAAAUGCCUCAGAUGCAAAUUAACCAUAAACUUGAGUCUUCUCAUCUGCAUCGACAACGCUAAUUUCAACAACAAAAAAGAAACUUACAAACACAUUAAAAGGAGAGACACUAGAUUAACCGGCGAAGUAUUCUUUCUACAAGAAAGAGAGAGAAACAGUAUGGGAUAUUAUCAGAUGGAACCAAUACAUGAUUCAUUGGAAAUCAUAUCAUCCAUCAACAAUGCAAAUAUCCUCAUCUCACCCAAACGAAUCAAAAAUAGUAAGAAAAAACAAACAACGUGGAUAUUAUCAAGGAUGCAACAGAUCUCCAAGGUGAAAAUGGUCUGGCUUCACAGAGAAGCCUCAGACGCAAAUUACCCAUAAAAAUUAUGUCUCCUCAUCUACAUCAACAAUGCUCCUUGAAGAAACAACAGCAAGAACAAGAAUGAAAUAUAAAUUUCAGAUGCCAAGAUCCCAAAUAAAUAUCAAACCCUAACAAAUACCAUAUACAAUAGUAGUACAGGGAUCCUAAGUCGCACGCGCACCCCGCACGCGGAUGGAUGACCAUCUCCCGUAUAUAUAGACAAGAGAAGAGAAGAGAAGAGAUGACGACAUGGUGGGGUGCAGCAGCCGCAUGCGUGCUCAAAUGGCCAAAGACAAGCCCAUGCCCCGGACCCUUGCUCCCUCACUUGGCUGGUCGAUGGCUGUCUCAUGGGCAUCCCUAGGCAACGUUGAUAACCGAACCGGUCUCUUGCAAUUUAUCUCCUCCUUGUAAUCAGCCUCCACGAGCUCACCCAACCCAGCUUUGCCUCGAGACUCGAGAGAGAUAAUGGCUAGUGUUCGUUGUAAGCUGCAUGCAGGAGGCGAACCACCAGGCGGGGCAUUAGUUACAGAAGUUGAACUGAUCGAUCGAGCACCAGAUUAAUUGUACUAUGUUAUGUCACCCAAAGAGAUCCAACCACCGAAGAGAGGGAGGACGUAGUACGAGAUGAGAUAGACGCCACUAAGCAUGGUACGUCACAGCAAUAUAAUAUAAUGGCAUCGAUCGACGAGUGUGCUCGUGUGUGUUGGUUUACUGCUGACUGGUUGGACAUUUGUGCUGGCCUUUUUGUUUGAUUUUGCUACUGAACAGAUGGCUGUGGUUUGCUUCAUGGAUCGGCCAGGCAGCCACCUGUUUCUUCUUCAGUUGCAUAAUACAUCAUUUGGUUACUGCUGGCAACAGCCACCAUUUCUCUUCUUUCUUUUGCAUGUAUAUAAUUUGGUUACUGCUGGCAACAAUUCUGUCGUCAAACUGAAGAACUUUAUAUAUGCAUGAUGAUGAUGCCUGGGCAAUCUACAUUCACAAUAUGCAUAGCGAGCCACGACCAAUUUCUUCUCGACUACUCCCUCCGUUCCUAAAUAUAACUCUUUGUAGAGAUUUCACUAUGGAGUGUAGAUUCAUUCAUUUUACUCCGUAUGUGGUCCAUGGUGAAAUCCCUCCAAAAACUUAUAUUUAGAAACGGAGCUUUAGAUGCACUCCAUAAAAAGAAAGGUUGAUGAUAAACAAGAACAAAAUCUCUUAUGUCGCAAAAUAAAUCAUGCAUGCAUGCCUCCUCCAAACAGACAAUUCAAGCCUUAUUUAGCACACCACUCUCAACCAUCGCAGCCAACAAAGACAACUCCGGUUCAAUUUCGCAGCCAACAAAGCACAAACAGCUUGCUCAUCUCGCCGUUUUAUCUAGCGCCAACAACACAAAGAAAGAUAUUUUGGUGCCAUUUACACCAGUCAACAGCCAGCCAAGAAUAGAUGGCUAACGACUCACCCGACAAAAAGGAGACCUAUAUAGUUCCAACCAUUUAGUUACACCACCUCUACAACAAUCACAUUCAUUACAACUUGGCCACGAAAGCAAGAAACAAUCAACUAGCGACGAAAAAAUUCUUCAUCUACAGCUUGCUUGCCAUUUCAUUUCAACACUAGCUAGUUCUACAACACUGGCACUGAGAACCAGAUCUUAAGCUUGUACAAAUCUUCAGCUUUCCAUUUACCAAAUUCGCACAGCAACAAUACCGGUCUCCAACAGUUCACCAACACCACCAGCCAAGAAAUAAAGCACAAACAACCACGCCAAGUAGACAACAAUAUCACUAGCCAGGCAUAUCAACAAACGGAGCACAAGUUGCCAUUUCCUCUAGUGCUUCCAAGUCUCCACUUAUGGGGGCCAUGGCACCAUCUUCGUCAAUCUCCAUGGCACCUACACCAAACAAUCGGCCAAGCUCUUAGCAGAGGAAGUCACCAAAUUAAGUAAAAACCUCAAUCUGGGUUAGGGUAGAUAAAUAGAUAGAAGUAAUAAAGGAAAAUACAUACGCAGCAGUUAAAAAGACACCAAGGUGUGGGUGUGGUAUCCUUGAUUAACAACAAAAGAAAAAGCAUGAUAAUCUUCCUGCAAACAAGAAUGAGAUUCUAACAGCUCUUGACAUCAAAUGAGCUUUUAUAUUAGUGCCAUUUCUGAGCUUUCUAUAUGAAAGCCUUUUCUAGCUAUCAAGCUAUCAGUAAAAUAACAGUAGCUUCAGAACUAUGCAAAAACACUAACUGACCACGCAUGCAUCCGAAACUGACAAGUGAGCUAUGCAAACAGAACCAGAUUGAAAAAAAACUAAAAACAAAUUGAUCAUGUUCCGUCUGCAAAGACCGCUGCCAAAACUGAAUCUGUUCGUCUUCCCGCUCUAGAGCUUCUCUAAACAAGUAGUCUGCAGGUACAAAUGAAGGGAAGAGAGAAGGAAGAAAGGCUAGUCCUCUCUCAAUUGGUUCAUGAUGCAUACGACAAAACCAAGAUAUGUGCCGUGAGAUCAAGAACCCUCCACAAACGUCAUAAUGAACAUGCCCCAACAACCCUUCCUGGGACGAAUGAGAACUAUGCUCCUAAAGUAACAUGCAAGUGAUUUACUUGAUAAGUACACGUCAGAUUACCUAGCUAGAACGGAUCCAGAGGAACACCGAUUCAUUUAACUAGCUACCAACAAGCAUUACCGAGCCCAAUUGGGGCCAUCAAGAGACCAAACAGAAAAGCUAAGUAGUCAUUGCACACAGAGGCCAUGACCCAGAGCUAUACCAUGGCUCGAUGACCAUGUCCACAAAGCAAGGGCAAGAGCAGAGAAUGCCUUUAAAAUGUUUGUAGUCGAGGCAGAACCACGCCAUCAGGAUAAUUACCCUCUUGCUUAAGUAGUGUGUUUGUUCUUUCUACCACGUGGCUAUCCGUAACAGAGCCCUCUUGAAAACUUGAGGAGAAAAAAAUUGUGAUUUUAGUAAGGGGAGGUACAAAACUAAAAUAUAGAGAUGUGUGAAGAAAAAAAUCGACUACAAUAUUAUAGUCAAGUAAACAUGCCAAGGUAGGUAAGAUAGGACAAAGAACUUGUAGCCUUCUAGUAAUAUAGCUUCCACGUUCCAAAUGAGAAGAUGAUCGAUAUAAUGAACACCAUUUAGGUGCAAAUAGGCAAAGAAUAUCUGCUAUGAGAUGCAGUUUGAUGCCAGUAGUAGAUAAAGGAUGCCAAAAGGCACUAAUCAUGAUAAAGAUCAUGUUAGAGUAACAUUUGAUCUCAAGUAGUUGUAUUAUUUAACAGGAUGCAAAACACAAAUUGCAACCCUACAAUACAUAGCAGCAAUGCACAAUGUGCAAGAAUUUUGCCUUGUAGCAACAACAGCAUAAAGGUAACUAUACAUACAUGACUCUGAUCAAUGUUCGCCCUUGUGCUUUUCUAUAUAUGGCCGACAAGCUAGUAGAGUGGGAGUUAUUUGGUUGUAUGAUCCAGAAGAAACAAAGGCGUGAUGAUCAUCUUCCUCUGCUUCAGUUAGCCAACCGAGGGAAUCAGGGAGGAUAAAUGUACGGCUUAAAACUAGACUCUGGCUGGGCAAACCCAGUUACAGAUGUGUGCAAGCUGCUGGAGCCGGAGCGCAGCUAUUAAAUUGGACAUGCAUGCAUUUAGUAAGUGAGUCCCCUCUGUUAGAAGAACUGCAACCUUGUAGCGAAAUUAUGAGCUGGUAUAUAUUAACCUGGUUGUUCAACUUGUAAACUGAAGAGGAACACAUACGAGCUUGACCAUGAUAGAGAUAGUCGAAAAAAAUUACAACAGCAAAGCCAAAACUACUAUAACAGAAGAUGCAACAGCAAAGAAGAAGCAUGAAGUGCAACAGAGCAUUUCGCUGGGAAGUUGUGAUCUAACGAGCAGUGCUCCAAACUCUUCCGAAAAUCAGGUUCUACUGCUAGCAGGUUAAUGAAUGUGCUAUAAUUUCAUCAUCAUCCACAACAUAUCUUAGAAACGGGAAACCAGUGUAAACUAGCUAGAAUUUUUGUAUUGAGAAGAUCACGAGGUAAUCAAAAUCAAAGACCUAUGUAACUGAACAGUUCAAUACACAUGAUGCAAUGGAUACAUGAAGAAUUAUGAACUUCAACAGACCUUCAUUGGCAAAUUGACAAAUCAAGUCCAAACUGAUGCAAUCAUUUGAUUUAAUAGGCAGUGCUCCACGCUCUUCCACAAAUCAAGUCCAACUUGAUAGUAAACAAAGAGGACUAAAUAUUAAGAAUCAAGAAAACCACCAGAUGUUCUUUAAGAAACUAAGAAGAUUUCGCUAACAGAAAGGCAGAACAGAGACACGAGGAAUAUCAGCAGAAGGAUUAAAUGGGAUAAUGGGCGGGGAGCGUUUUGAUCAAGUGAACUCGGAAUAUAGUUGGUGAAACAAUAGAAUGGUUGUCAAGGAAAGAAGAUGCCAGUUGUGACAAACAAGAAAGAUGUAUAUACAAAGAAAACACUCCAUUGCAAAUUAGCGAUUACAACCAAGAAAAGUUAUGAAACCAGAAAAGCAGAUUGAACAAGAACGAAUGGUUUAUAGGUGCUCAGAAUCAACAGGUGUAUAGGAGUCGUUCAUGAGGAUAUCCCAUCAGUAUGAGGUAUGUUUUGUAACCAUUGCACAAUUGCAACCACCAGCAACAAGAAUAAAUCAUUUACCAAAUCACACGAGCUUAAAAAUAUUGAACUAGGAACACGAGUUUCAAGUCUUGGGGCCGGAUAACACAACUCAAGUCAAUUAAAUAUGAGCUCCAAUGAUGACAUAUAAGAAAUUUCAAUGGAUCCAGGUAAGCAUUUGGUUCAAACACAAAACAAACUUUAUAGGAAAUAAACACAAAAAACAAUCAUCCAAUGAAGCUAGAAAAAGAAUGGUUUGUUGGUGCUCAGAUUCUAUGGGUGUAUAGGAGUCAUUCACAGGGUUCUCCUGUCAGUAUGAGGAAUGUUUUAUAAGCACUGCAUCACAAAUGGUUCAACUCGCUAAAUCAAAAAUACCAGAAGAAUACUAGAUAGGAAAAACAUUAAAAAAAUGUAAAAGAGCAGAGAUUAAACUGCAAUCUCGAAGCAGACAUCCAUCUAGACAUAUUUUUGCUCCAAGCACCAGCUGAGUUCUGAAAGUGAUGCACACUGUUAAUAUGUUAUUAUCAGUAUUGUUUCAUCCUCACUGCGCUCAAACGCCACAAAUGAAGAAACAAGAACACAACAUAAGGGAAUAUUAUCGAGGAUGCAUCAGAUAUCCAACCUUAAAAGGGUGUGACAUCACAGAGACACCUCAGACGCAAAUUACACAUAAAACUUGUGUCUUCUCACCUGCAUCAAUAUUGCUCUUCCAAGAAACAGCAAGAAGAACAAGGAAAAACUAAAUUCAAGAGAAACAAAGAAUGACGGAUAGGAAAAGAAUGACAGGACUUGCAGCACAACCCAUGGCUAUCCACUCCUGCAUCCACAUCCACAAACCCAACAGAUAAUUCAUUUUACUUGAGACUAAGCUCGGUUCUAAUUUCAAAGCUAAUAGCUUUGUGGUUUAAUUUUAAACUGAACUGAAUUAAUUUCUCAGGAACUAACUAGGGACUAUGAUCAGGUUCGGUUUAGAAUUCAGGCUAUCGACCAUGCAAAUAAAACCAAUAGGGAAAUUAAUUAUUCAAAAUAACCAUCUCUUGAACACAUGAAAUUACUCUACCAAGAACUAAGCUAGAAAACAAAGCCAAGAAGAAAACAACUUUUUUUUGUGGAAACGAGAGGAUGAUCAGAUUCGGUUCAGUAUUAAGGCCAUCAUAUCAGCCAAUCAGGAAAAUUAACCUCAUCUCUCGUCUUUUCCUUUUUCGUAGUAGUCCGAGUUCAAGCUACUGUAGCAAUAUUUACUGUCCAUCUUUUUCAGUUCUGCUCCAGAAAGGAGAAAGGAUAAACCAAAAAAAAAAUUAACACAACAGUGAGGGCGGCUGCAUCAGAUCUCCAAGGUGAGAAAGAAUGUGACAUCACAGAAAUGCCUCAGAUGGAAAUUACCAAUAAUCUAGGGUCUCGUCAUCUGCAUCCACUAUGCCCAUUUCAAUUAGAAAACAAAGUUUCUAUUUGAAUUGAUCUAACAUUGCUUGUUUGUUGUUAAACUGUACUAAAAUGAUCUUUGGUAGAAUUCUGCAACAAACACCACAAUAUCUUUGAAACAGGGAAAAAAGGGCAGCCCGGUGCAUGUAGCUCCUGCUUGCGCAGGGUCCGGGGAAUGGUCCGACCACUUUGGGUCUAUAGUACGUAGCAUUUCCCUACAUUUCUGUAAGAGGUUGUUUCCGGGACUUGAACCCAUGACCUCAUGGUCGAUAAUCAGAUUAUGUUCAGUAUUUAGGCAAUCAAGUUGAUCAAUCAAACCAAUAGGAAAAUUAAUCAUCCGUCAUCUUAUCUCUGUCUAUUUAACUAGCAAAUAGAUCUAUUGAAUAAAUGUAUGUACCAUACAAAUAGCAAAUCUAAUGAACAUGAUGAGGUGACCAAAAACAGGUCGGCUUUUUUUGAUGAUCAUAUUUGGUUCAGUAUUUGGGCCAUCAUAUCGGCCAAUCGAAACAAUAGGAAAUUUAAUCUCAUUCAUCAUCUCAUCUCUCGCCAAUUAAAACCCAAAACAAAGGAUUUUUUUAACAAAAUUAGUAAGAACACGAAAUACAUGACUCAGGUGGAUGCAUCAGAUCUCCAAGGUGAAAAAGAGUGACAUCACAUAAAUGCCUCAGAUGCAAAUUAACCAUAACCUUGAGUCUCCUCAUCUGCAUCGACAACGCUCCUUUCAACAACAAAAAAGAAACUUACAAACACAUUAAAAGGAGAGACACUAGAUAAACCGGCGAAGUAUUCUUUCUACAAGAAAGAGAGAGAAACAGUAUGGGAUAUUAUCAGAUGGAACCAAUACAUGAUUCAUUGGAAAUCAUAUCAUCCAUCAACAAUGCAAAUAUCCUCAUCUCACCCAAACGAAUCAAAAAUAGCAAGAAAAAACAAACAACGUGGAUAUUAUCAAGGAUGCAACAGAUCUCCAAGGUGAAAAUGGUCUGGCAUCACAGAGAAGCCUCAGAUGCAAAUUACCCAUAAAAAUUAUGUCUCCUCAUCUACAUCAACAAUGCUCCUUGAAGAAACAACAGCAAGAACAAGAAUGAAAUAUUAAUUUCAGAUGCCAAGAUCCCAAAUAAAUAUCAAACCCUAACAAAUACCAUAUACAGUAGUAGUACAGGGAUCCUAAGUCGCACGCGCACCCUGCACGCGGAUGGAUGACCAUCUCCCGUAUAUAUAGACAAGAGAAGAGAAGAGAAGAGAUGACGGCAUGGUGGGGUGCAGCAGCCGCGUGCGUGCUCAAAUGGCCAAAGACAAGCCCAUGCCCCCGGACCCUUGCUCCCUCACUUGGCUGGUCGAUGGCUGUCUCAUGGGCAUCCCUUGGCAACGUUGAUAACUGAACCGGUCUCUUGCAAUUUAUCUCCUCCUUGUAAUCAGCCUCCGCGAGCUCACCCAACCCAGCUUUGCCUCAAGACUCGAGAGAGAUAAUGGCUAGUAGUGUUCACUGUAAGCUGCAUGCAGGAGGCGAACCACCAGGCGGGGCAUUAGUUACAGAAGUUGAAUUGAUCGAUCGAGCACCAGAUUAAUUGUACUAUGUUAUGUCACCAAAGGAUCCAACCACUAAAGAGAGGAGGACGUAGUACGAGAUGAGAUGGACGCCGCUAAGCAUGGUACGUCACAGCAAUAUAAUAUAAUGGCAUCGAUCGACGAGUGUGCUCGUGUGUGUUGGUUUGCUGCUGACUGGUUGGACAUUUGUGCUGGCCUUUUUGUUUGAUUUUGCUACUGAACAGAUGGCUGUGGUUUGCUUCAUGGAUCGGCCAGGCAGCCACCUGUUUCUUCUUUCAGUUGCAUAAUAUAUCAUUUGGUUACUGCUCGCAACAGCCUCUUCUUUCUUUUGCAUAUAUUGUAUAUAAUUUGGUUACUGCUGGCAACAAUUCUGUCGUCAAACUGAAGAACUUUAUAUAUGCAUGAUGAUGAUGCCUGGGCAAUCUACAUUCACAAUAUGCAUAGCGAGCCACGACCAAUUUCUUCUCGACUACUCCCUCCGUUCCUAAAUACAAGUCUUUGUAGAGAUUUCACUAUGGACUGUAGAUUCAUUCAUUUUAUUCCGUACGUGGUCCCGAUAGUGAAAUCCCUCCAAAAACUUAUAUUUAGGAACGGAGGCAGUACUAGUUUACAUGCACUCCAUAAAAAGAAAGGUUGAUGAUAAACAAGAACAUCUCUUAUGUUGCAAAAUAAAUCACGCAUGCAUGCCUCCUCCAAACACACAAUUCAAGCCUUAUUUAGCACACCACUCUCAACCAUCGCAGCCAACAAACACUAGUCCGGUUCAAUUUCACAGCCAACAAAGCACAAACAGCUUGCUCUUCUCGCCGUUUUAUCUAGCGCCAACAACACAAAGAAAGAUAUUUUGGUGCCAUUUACACCAGUCAACAGCUAGCCAAGAAUAGAUGGCUAACGACUCACCCGACAAAAAGGAAACAUAUAUAGUUCCAACCAUUUAGUUACACCACCUCUACAACAAUCACAUUCAUUACAACAUGGCCACGAAAGCAAGAAUAAAUCAACUAGCGAGAAAAAAAUUCUUCAUCUACAGCUUGCUUGCCAUUUCAUUUCAGCACUAGCUAGUUCUACAACACU
Molecule: long non-coding RNA, 14268 nt
Filed under: Triticum aestivum (bread wheat)
Lineage: Eukaryota; Viridiplantae; Streptophyta; Magnoliopsida; Poales; Poaceae
Description: long non-coding RNA (TAES_LNC000063)
Source: RNAcentral